UAGGGUGUAGCUCAGUGGUACAGUCUGUGCUUAGCAUGCACAAGGUCCUGGGUUCAAUCCUUAGCAUCAAAA
Molecule: non-coding RNA, 72 nt
Organism: Fukomys damarensis (Damara mole-rat)
Lineage: Eukaryota; Metazoa; Chordata; Mammalia; Rodentia; Bathyergidae
Source: Rfam